Xenia sp. Carnegie-2017 is the source of this 187-nucleotide long non-coding RNA. RefSeq lists it as uncharacterized. NCBI's taxonomy places the organism in Eukaryota, Metazoa, Cnidaria, Anthozoa, Malacalcyonacea, Xeniidae. The transcript has 2 exons. The record is from RefSeq and is a predicted model, not a curated record.
CGAGAAGAGUCUAAACUACGUAAAAUAUAAGCUACGACAACGUGUGUCAGUGUAGGUAGUGAUGAAUAAACAAUAGAGAACGAGAAGAGUCUAAACUACGUAAAAUAUAAGCUAAGACAACACAACGUGUGUCAGUGUAGGUAGUGAUGAAUGAACAACAAAGAAUGAGAACAGUCAUUACACUACC